AGAGUUUGAUUAUGGCUCAGGAUGAACGCUGGCGGCGUGCAUAACACAUGCAAGUCGAACGGGCCUAUCUGAGAAGCUUGCUUUUAGAUAGGUAGUGGCGGACGGGUGAGUAACGCGUGGGUAACCUACCCUGUACAGGGGGGAUAGCAGCUGGAAACGGCUGAUAAAACCGCAUAAAACGGCAUCGCCGCAUGGCGAAACCGUCAAAUAUUUAUAGGUACAGGAUGGGCCCGCGUCUGAUUAGCUAGUUGGCGGGGCAACGGCCUACCAAGGCGACGAUCAGUAGCCGGCCUGAGAGGGUGAACGGCCACAUUGGGACUGAGACACGGCCCAAACUCCUACGGGAGGCAGCAGUGGGGAAUAUUGGACAAUGGGGGGAACCCUGAUCCAGCGAACCGCCGCGUGAGUGAAGAAGUAUUUCGGUAUGUAAAGCUCUAUCAGCAGGGAAGAUGAUGACGGUACCUGAGUAAGAAGCACCGGCUAAAUACGUGCCAGCCGCCGC
RNAcentral lists this ribosomal RNA (502 nucleotides) under uncultured bacterium. Its description in RNAcentral is "bacterial SSU rRNA". It matches the Rfam family "Bacterial small subunit ribosomal RNA", at positions 8 to 518 of the family's 1533-position model. The record is from RNAcentral.